RNAcentral lists this long non-coding RNA (524 nucleotides) under Mytilus galloprovincialis (Mediterranean mussel). The record is from RNAcentral. Lineage: Eukaryota; Metazoa; Mollusca; Bivalvia; Mytilida; Mytilidae.
GCUAGAUAAUAUUUUAGGGGCACAAUUUUGUAAUAAGCAUUUUCAGGGGAAAUAACUCCAAAAUUAAUUUCCAUGUUUACGUCUGCUUGUCGCUCACAAGUUGAGAUGUACGAUGUUUCUGUGUCAGAAGGCAUAGUUUUAUUUUGAUUACUUCAAUUCAAUUCUAAAUUCAUGAAAGUCUUCAUUCGCACACACUUUCAUUGUGACUUGAAGAUCGAAAGAAAAUGCCGACACAUUCAUCAUAUUUAUGACAAAAAGGUACAUUGUCUUAAUUAAAUUACCUAGUAAUUAACACCUUUAAUUGAAGUCUUAUCCACAAUAAUUGAUUGUAAUGACAUGAUAAACCUCAUUACCUGGGGGCAAUCACCAGGUGUCAUAUUUGUAAUUCAACUUCUGAUAAGAAAUCGAUGAAACAAAGGCAAUUUUACCAAAACGGCACAAGGUUUUUUUUGGAAAACGGCGUCAGGGCAGAAGGGCGCGACUGAGGGCACACAGGGCGCGGCUGAGGGCACCCAGGGCGCGGC